GGGGGUGUACUGGUUUCGACGGGAGUCAUGUAUAUUGGGGCAGCCAUCCGCAGAUUCCGGAGCUGCGUAAAAAUCUGGAACUUAAAUAUAAACGCAGAAGAUAAUUUUGCAUUUGCUGCUUAAUUAAAAGCAGCUGUCUCUCUUAGAUAACCCACGGUCUAAGAAGAGGCAUCGACUAGUGGGCAACUUUCUCUCCUAAGCUUUGCGGAGAAGAUCGUAUCUAUGAAGCUACUGAGGUUUGAAGCCUGUCGUUAGGCGUCUUACCGAGGGAAAUCCAAAGUAACGACUAUGAUGGAAGAGACCACGAUAUAUGGGCUUUCGGACGGGGGUUCGAUUCCCCCCACCUCCACCA
Molecule: transfer-messenger RNA, 352 nt
Filed under: Defluviitaleaceae
Lineage: Bacteria; Bacillati; Bacillota; Clostridia; Lachnospirales
Also listed under: 1 other name
Description: Defluviitalea_A sp012521175 Standard tmRNA
Rfam family: transfer-messenger RNA
About the family: Bacterial tmRNA, also known as 10Sa RNA or SsrA, is named for its dual tRNA and mRNA-like properties. Its role is to liberate the mRNA from a stalled ribosome. To accomplish this part of the tmRNA is used as a reading frame that ends in a translation stop signal.
Source: RNAcentral